RNAcentral lists this ribosomal RNA (506 nucleotides) under uncultured bacterium. Its description in RNAcentral is "partial 16S ribosomal RNA". It matches the Rfam family "Bacterial small subunit ribosomal RNA", at positions 30 to 523 of the family's 1533-position model. The record is from RNAcentral.
AUUGAACGCUGGCGGCAGGCCUAACACAUGCAAGUCGAACGGCAGCACAGGAGAGCUUGCUCUCUGGGUGGCGAGUGGCGGACGGGUGAGGAAUACAUCGGAAUCUACUCUGUCGUGGGGGAUAACGUAGGGAAACUUACGCUAAUACCGCAUACGACCUACGGGUGAAAGCAGGGGACCUUCGGGCCUUGCGCGAUUGAAUGAGCCGAUGUCGGAUGAGCUAGUUGGCGGGGUAAAGGCCCACCAAGGCGACGAUCCGUAGCUGGUCUGGGAGGAUGAUCAGCCACACUGGAACUGAGACACGGUCCAGAUUCCUACGGGCGGAAGCAGUGGGGAAUAUUGGACAAUGGGCGCAAGCCUGAUCCAGCCAUACCGCGUGGGUGAAGAAGGCCUUCGGGUUGUAAAGCCCUUUUGUUGGGAAAGAAAUCCAGCUGGCUAAUACCCGGUUGGGAUGACGGUACCCAAAGAAUAAGCACCGGCUAACUUCGUGCCAGCCGCCGCAGUAA